Deltaproteobacteria bacterium CG1_02_45_11 is the source of this 117-nucleotide non-coding RNA. The record is from Rfam. Lineage: Bacteria; Deltaproteobacteria.
UUCGGUGGUAAUAGCGAAGAGGAAACACCCGUUCCCAUCCCGAACACGGAAGUUAAGCUCUUCAGCGCCGAUGGUACUGCAUGGGAAGCCGUGUGGGAGAGUAGGACACUGCCGAAA